AAACCGCAUAGGGGUUAAACCCGAUGAACCUGAAUAUCUGAAAUGAGAAAUUCAAUACUAUUUUGUUUAAAUAUCUAUAUAUAUGUAUAGUUAUUAUUUUUUCGAAAAUAAUUUUAUCAUGUGUAUCAUAUUUUCUAAAUGGUAUGCACUUUUCUCAUAGUAAGACAUUGCAAUCUAUUAGUAUAUCUAAUUAAUAUAUAGAUGGUUUAUUAAACGGCUCAUAUAAUUUGUUUAUUCUAUCUGUAAUAUUUUUUAUUAAAUAUUAUAUGAAUAAUAUUAUUGUGAUGACCUAAUAAACAGCUGAUAGAUUUUAAAUAUAAAAAUCAUGCAAACAUAUUUAUUUAUGUGUUAUAUAUUAAUAUAAUAGCAUGUAUUUGAUUAGCAAUGCGAUAGAUUUAGGAUACCUUCGGGACCCGUCUUGAAACACGGACCAAGAAGUCUAACAUGUGUGUAAGUCAUUGGGUAUAUUGUUGAAACCUAAAGACAUUAUUAAAAUAACUAAUUUUUAAUUGGGAUUACAAAUAAUAUAAUCAAAUUUAUUUUUGAAUAUUAUUUCUCCAUCCCGGGGCGUUCCAUAUGAACA
This 583-nucleotide ribosomal RNA is filed under the name Nepaletricha sigma. RNAcentral describes it as "eukaryotic LSU rRNA". The record is from RNAcentral. Lineage: Eukaryota; Metazoa; Arthropoda; Insecta; Diptera; Rangomaramidae.